RNAcentral lists this small RNA (541 nucleotides) under Pongo abelii (Sumatran orangutan). Its description in RNAcentral is "processed transcript". The record is from RNAcentral. Lineage: Eukaryota; Metazoa; Chordata; Mammalia; Primates; Hominidae.
UGGCCUCGGCCAUCUUUGCUCCCACCUCCUACAUUGCAUCCCUUUCAAGUCGGCCUUGGCCCUGGGCCUCACGCAGGCCCUCUCCACCCUCUCUCGUCUCCCCAGGGACCCCCACAGAAGAGACGUGGCCCGGCGUGACCGCCUUCUCCGAGUUCCGCACCUACAGCUUCCCCCGCUACCUUCCGCAGCCGCUCAUCAGCCACGCGCCCAGGUUGGAUACGGAUGGCAUCCAACUCCUGAGCAGCCUGCUCCUGCUGCCUCCAUCUUCUCCCUGAAGGAGAUCCAGCUCCAGAAGGACCCAGGCUACCGAGGCUUGGCCUUCCAGCAGCCAGGACGAGGCAAGAACAGGCGGCAGAGCAUCUUCUGAGCUGCGCCCACCUUGCUGUGGCCAAGGGACGAGAGAUCACGUGGAGCACAAAUUCGGGUAGGAUGGAGCCUGUGUGGCCCUCGGAGGACUGAAGAACGAGGGCUGACAGCCAGCCCGGAAGACCGCUUGGCAGCCCUGCUGGCCAUGGCUGUUUCUUCUUUGUGCUUCCCGCGU